This 1314-nucleotide long non-coding RNA is filed under the name Sus scrofa (pig). RNAcentral describes it as "lncRNA (ENSSSCG00050013234.1)". Lineage: Eukaryota; Metazoa; Chordata; Mammalia; Artiodactyla; Suidae. The record is from RNAcentral.
CUUGUCCACGGCCACGCAGCUGGCAGGGGUCAGGGCUGAACCUGGGUGAUGGCUGGACCCUAAAUCCAGGGCUCCGUGGGUCUGCCACCUGCCUCUAAGAAGGCGGUCUUUCCUAGCUAUCACUUAAUUUUUUCCAGAAGGGCCGCAGGCCUUCCUGUCCUGUUCCCAGAACAGGCUGCUGCUCCAGGGGGACAGAAGGGCCAUGGAGGCAGUCCUCAUAGGGGGCUUGUGUGAUGGUGGAGGGACCUGGGAUCCUCCCCGGGGCAGGGCCUCGCCGCGGCUUGCCUGCUGGGGGUUAAAGCUGUCAGUGGCAAAGGACCCGUCUUCCCAGCCGCAGUGGCAGCUGCUCUUCCUGGACCAGCCCCGCGGGGGGCUUUGGCGCAUCCCCCACCCCAGCCCCAGCUCAGCACCCUGACCUGCCCAAAGCUGAGGAAAGAAGGAAGAAGAUGUGCCAGGGCCGCUUUCGAAGCUGGGGUGGCCGUCCAUGCACACAGGCGGCGAGGCUGUGCCCUCCCGGGGCCCAGACUCCACAGCGGGCGCAGCCAGCAUCGCUUCCCUGCCGCCUCUGCAGCCGCCUCCCCUCUCGGGCCUGGGCCUGGCAUGGGAGGGGUUAAGCCGCCGCGGGCACCUUGGCACGUCGUGCUGCCCAGAACGUCCGGCUCCCCACCCCCACCCGCUUUUCUUCCUUUUUGCCUUUUUCCUUCUUAAUUAAUCAUACGCUGCUGCCCAAUUUAAAUAUGGAAAUACCCAGGCCAGGCGAUGCAAUUAUUCCCAAGGCCAGGCGGGCCGUCCGGGCCCUCGGCUGCGGGAAGUAGGGUGGCAUCGUCCCCUUUCUGGUGUGUGUGAAAUUAUGUGCACAAAAGACGUCUCCUUAUCUGAGUGUGUGAACUAAAUAAAUAAAUAAGGGCUUUUGUUUGUUUGCCGGCUCCUGUACACGACUGUUUUGACUAAACCGCCCGUGUUGUCUGUGCCUUUAUGGGACUCAGGAGACAGGAGGCAGGGGGAGGCCUGGGGGGUGGGGGCGGCCGCCGGGCAUCUGGGCCUCUCCCUCCCCUGGCACCACCGCACCCCGCACCCCUCCCACACACACCCUCGCCGGAAAGUUCCCCAGCCCAGGCCGGGCUCCCAGGCAGCUUGGCACCGUGCCAGGCUCGCCGCCGAGCGCGGGCAGCCGGGUGGGGCGAGCGGCGGCGGCACCGAGGACAUGGCCGGGCGCCCUGGGCGCGAGCAGGACCCAAGGCCGGGAGGCCGGGGCCCAGAAGCUCCAGGUGUGCGUUGAGAAGGUUUUUCCCAGCACAAGCAGUUUCCCAGUGA